UUAUGAAACCAGAUGGAAUUAGUCAAGAUGGAUUCGAGUGGUUCUAAAUCGAAAGACUGGCAUCCUUAUGAGAAAGAACGUGGAUGCACAGGACACUGAG
Molecule: small RNA, 100 nt
Filed under: Pongo abelii (Sumatran orangutan)
Lineage: Eukaryota; Metazoa; Chordata; Mammalia; Primates; Hominidae
Description: processed transcript
Source: RNAcentral